This 76-nucleotide transfer RNA is filed under the name Acidobacteriota bacterium. RNAcentral describes it as "Acidobacteria bacterium tRNA-His". It matches the Rfam family "tRNA". From Rfam's summary of the family: Transfer RNA (tRNA) molecules are approximately 80 nucleotides in length. Their secondary structure includes four short double-helical elements and three loops (D, anti-codon, and T loops). Lineage: Bacteria; Pseudomonadati; Acidobacteriota. The record is from RNAcentral.
GUGAGCGUAGCUCAGCUUGGUAGAGCGCCAGACUGUGGAUCUGGACGUCGCGGGUUCGAAUCCCGUCGCUCACCCA